Molecule: ribosomal RNA, 244 nt
Filed under: uncultured anaerobic ammonium-oxidizing bacterium
Lineage: Bacteria
Description: partial 16S ribosomal RNA
Rfam family: Bacterial small subunit ribosomal RNA
Source: RNAcentral
GGAGUUAAGAAAUGUAAGUGCGCUAAUAUCGCAUUUAUUUGACGAAGGCUCCAGAGGAAGUCACGGCUAACUCUGUGCCAGCAGCCGCGGUAAUACAGAGGUGGCAAGCGUUGUUCGGAAUUAUUGGGCGUAAAGAGCACGUAGGUGGGUUUGUAAGUCAGAUGUGAAAGCCUUCUGUUCAACGGAAGAAUUGCAUCUGAAACUACGAAUCUUGAGUGUAGGAGGGGAGAGUGGAACUUCUGGU